Long non-coding RNA from Herpailurus yagouaroundi (jaguarundi), 292 nucleotides. RefSeq lists it as uncharacterized. The record is from RefSeq and is a predicted model, not a curated record. Lineage: Eukaryota; Metazoa; Chordata; Mammalia; Carnivora; Felidae. The transcript has 2 exons.
AUGCUGCUCCAAAGAUUUCCUGGGGUCCGCUUCCAACUUCUCACUCGGAUCUCAGAGACCGUCCUGUCCCCUUGGGUGACCCUACAGGUCUCUGCACCAAGCAACCUGUCUUGCCUGACAGACCCCAAAGCCCAGCGUCAGGAUGGACACGACUCGCUCCUUCUUCUCACCCACCACGUGAAAUCACGGCCGCCUGUUCUGUUCGGCACCCUGUCCUGGCCACACAGCGACAGACCGGACACUUGUUAAGCAUCAACAAACGUUGGUCGAAUAAAUACACGAACUACGAGAA